Molecule: long non-coding RNA, 2497 nt
Organism: Anas platyrhynchos (mallard)
Lineage: Eukaryota; Metazoa; Chordata; Aves; Anseriformes; Anatidae
Source: RefSeq, a predicted model, not a curated record
GGCUCUCCAGCUGCAGUUCUGGUUACGCCAGACAGCUGCUCUGUCAAAAAUGCUGGGAGAAAUGCUUCAUUUCUUCACAGGGGAUGCCUUCAGCAGGAGUCUGCUUUGGCAGCUAGAUGCUGCCCAAGGGAGAGAUCGUGGAGCUGUUCAAGCAAGCAUCUUGCAUGACUCCUGAGCUUGCAGCCCAGCACGUGAGGCUGCAGCUGCACAAGACCCGAGCUCUGCCCCAGCUGCUGCAGCCGUCGCCCACUGACCCAGCACCAGCACCCGUCUGUCCUCAUCCUCGUCCUCAUCCUCGGCAGCGACAGGGGACGAGGGAGGAGCUCCACAAUUAAAGUUAGCGUUUCAGCGAGGGCCAUCCUCAAGCCACAACAGAACCGGCACAAUCUGAUGGGAGAAAUCGGAAUAAUAGAUAAAAUGCCCUCACCCGGCCACCUCCAGCCAUGGCAGGAGGACUCAUAACAGCUUGGAGGCUGACCCCAGACCUGGAAGAGGGGGAAGGCAUCCGUCCACCUACAUUAUAACGCCAGGAUUUCCAGACACGUUGAUAAGACACCAACGCAGAACCUGGAGCAGGCUCACUCCUCACGCCUACUCCUCCUGGCCACAGACACGAGCCUGGGGCGAGGGGCAGCCUGCGGACCCCACUGGACAUCGGAGGAGAUGUUAUAGGAUGCUGCCCUGCAACACCUGGUGCUCCUAACCUGCGUGACAAAGCACCAGGUGGAGAGCUUCAGAUCCUCAGUUCCACAAAAUAAAACUAAAAACGACAGUCUGAUUGAAACUGUAGUUGCCUCUACACUACAGGAGCUUUCUAUUUUUCCCUACCCAGUGGCUGGGGCAGCUUCAGGAAACAGGUCUGCCUGUCUGUCACAAUAAUUGUUUCUGCCUCAGUUAUCUAGUCCAGUCAAAACAAGCCAAGUUCAUAGCCAGAGCUGCAAGAGAUUUCGAACAAGAUUUCUGUGAGCCCCUCUGCGAGCCGAGCAUCUCCCUGACACCCAGCACGCCUCACCCCACUGCUCCCCAGCUGGGACCACCUCAACAUCACCCACCCCAAUAUGCAACGGGACCGCUCGGAAGAAAAAAUCCACUCAAGGUCUCCCUGUCCUUUCCUAUCACACAGCUGACUGCUCCCUCCCUUCACCAUCGCGCGGUCCCCUGGAGACAAGCCUGCACCUUCCGGGCCGCAGGAAGCAGCGUGGCCCCACUGGGGCUGGGGCCCCGGCUGGCUGCUGCCCUUGAGCCGCUUCUCUGCGGAUCCGUGUGAGAUUUAUAAUCCAGCUGGCUGCCUGGCUGCUCUGCCAGAGCCGGGGGGCCGGAGCGGGACAGCAGUGCUCGGGUCUGCACGCCUGGAAGUGAACGGAGGGUCUUGCAAAGCAGGACCGCUGUCACAGAAAACAAGCAAAACCACCACCCCCCAAAAAAAGAUCCCACACCAAAAAUAGUUCAAGAGAAAGAGAAAAGUGAAAAACCAACCCUGAAGGCUUUCUAGCUGGUCUGUCCCCAGACUAUGCAGGAGGCUCAGCAAAAGAGGAAUUUGUCCCCCACCCCCUCUGGCACAACGUUGCAGCACGCGCAAACAAACAAAGAAAAAUCCAUAAAAAACGCCAAAAAAAUAUCCAAAGCUCAUCCUCUGCAGUGUACAGGGUGCUUCUUUAAUAUUUUCAAUCUGCAGAGGGAUUUAGCUUUGGGCUUUCUUGCCGGCGAAGGCAGAGGGAGCACGGCAGGAGCGGAUCAGAAGGGAGAAGUUCCCCCAGAGGGUUUCAGAAGUUACCGCACAUGUAUUUCACCAGAGGCUAUUUUUAACCCGGUGGUUGCUAUUUUUACCAAUGUCAGUGUUUUCCAUGUGUUGAACUCUGUCCCCAUGCAGGCUGCGGGGCGCUGUGCCCCGGCCCCCCCCAGGCGGCCCCCAGGCUCCCUGCUCUCCCCCCCCCGCUCCUCCUCCCUCCAGCGCUGGCUCUGGGUUGUCUGCAGCUCUUUGGGAGCUCUUUCAAGAGUAUCAGCAGAGCCUGGACUCCGCUCCCCGCUGCCCCUCCUCUGUAUGGAUAUAUCUGGGGGGGGGGGGGGGGGGGGCUGUGCGUGGUGCAAAGUCCAACCGCCAGCACCCUGCAAAGCUCCUGCUUCAACUUCAUUCCUCUCCAAACACAUUCCUGCCAACCGGGAGGGGAGAAGGAAAAAAAAAAAAAGAAAAAAAGAAAAAGUAAACAAACGCCACUGUUGCUAAGUUUUGCACUUUAUACCCUUUUAUAUUUACAAUCCUCUCUUGGCUAAAAAUAGCAACACAUGAUCCAUUUAUAACUGGCCGGACAUGCCCCGAAGCCGCUGGCGGGGCCCUGGCUGAUGAAAGGAGCUCUUUGCGUUCCUUCUACCUGAGCUCAUCUCGCGCUUAAAGGGCUCAGACAACCCCGCUGCCACAAAGCAUGCAUUGAAACCCCUGCUGCUUCCAGCAGAGAUCAGGAUAAGGGGUGCAAAAAAAAAAAAAAGCAUAAAAAAAAAA